CCCUGCAGACCUUCCCCUGGGGCUCUGCCAUCAGCGAGGCACGCUGGAGGGAAACCAGAAAGUAGGAAGAGAGGAGAUACGACUUUCCUCCUGCGUUCUAGCAAACAGCAGCAGCGCUGGGCUCCGGCCACAAGCGUCUGCCCUCACUCUUCCCAUCAGCUGCAGGAAGCCCCCGCUCAGAGGCCCGACGGGAAGUGGAGCAGGACCUCUCCUCUGAGCCCACAGAUUCUCGUGAUACUAACUCUUUCCUUCUGUUUCCUCAGUUCUAAGGCAGCUGUUGAUGUCACGGGUCUAGACGAGAGCAGAGGGAAUGAAGAGAAGUUCCAGGACCCUGGCCUGAGGAGCCGUAGCAUUUACUGAGCCGGUACAUAUGGGAGAGAUUGCAAAGUAGAAAAAGAAGUAUCUGGAGUGCUCAGGGUAAAAGCAGCAUGAGGCUGUGUCAGAAGAGACAGAAAAGAAAUGCUUGGAGAAGGAUGAAGAAGUCAGUAUUUUCAACGGCUAAUGAGACGAGACUGACAACAGGAAGCACAGCUGGACUGAGCCGGCGUACAGCGGGGAAAGGGAGAGCUACUGAUGGUUAGGGAAAGCUUCAUCCUACUUCUGAGGAGACCAUGAAUACCAGACUUACCUUUGGAAUCUGAUCACUAUUGUAUCGAACAUUUUCAAAGCAAGGGAAGUAAUUAUAAUUACUUGCGACA
Molecule: non-coding RNA, 698 nt
Organism: Microcebus murinus (gray mouse lemur)
Lineage: Eukaryota; Metazoa; Chordata; Mammalia; Primates; Cheirogaleidae
Source: RefSeq, a predicted model, not a curated record